UACGGAGGGUGCAAGCGUUAUCCGGAUUCACUGGGUUUACAGGGUGCGUAGGCGGAUAUGUAAGUCCGUGGUGAAAUCUCUGGGCUUAACCCGGAAACUGCCAUGGAUACUAUGUGUCUUGAAUGUUGUUGAGGUGAGCGGAAUAUGUCAUGUAGCGGUGAAAUGCUUAGAUAUGACAUAGAACACCAAUUGCGAAGGCAGCUCACUAAGCAAAUAUUGACGCUGAGGCACGAAAGCGUGGGGAUCAAACAGG
RNAcentral lists this ribosomal RNA (253 nucleotides) under uncultured bacterium. RNAcentral describes it as "partial 16S ribosomal RNA". It matches the Rfam family "Bacterial small subunit ribosomal RNA", at positions 524 to 776 of the family's 1533-position model. The record is from RNAcentral.